Molecule: long non-coding RNA, 2148 nt
Organism: Sycon ciliatum
Lineage: Eukaryota; Metazoa; Porifera; Calcarea; Leucosolenida; Sycettidae
Exons: 2
Source: RefSeq, a predicted model, not a curated record
ACCGAGGAAGGAGAACGCUCUAGCCGCUGCUGUUGUCCGUUUCAUCCACAUUGGGCGUUAGCUGCACCGCGCCUAUUGUGUUUUAGUAUUCCAUGGACACACAUUAGCAUUCAGAGCGAUUGUGGAGCCACAAUUUACUUCACACAGCGUUGUAUUGUCCACGAGCGCAAACUUCAUUAUCAGCAGUAACUGUUACUCUUCAUCCUACAUGUAGACUUGGAGUAUACACGGGCUUGUCACGACAGCGACAGCUCUACAGAGUGUUCAAGUGAGAAACAUUAAUUUCAAUUGUUGGUGGACGAAUAAAUGGCUGGUUCCGAAAAACGUGGCCUGCACCGAUGGUGUUUGGUGGAUCAUCAAACGGGGUGACCAGCAGUGUUCACCGAGGAAGGAGAAUGCACUCACCACCACUGUCGUCCGAUUCAUCCAAGUGGGCGUUAGCUGCGCCGCGCCUAUUGUGUUUUAGUAUUCCAUGGACGCACACUAGCGUUCUCAGCGAUUGUGGAGCCACAACAUAUCUUCAUGCGGCGUUGCACUGUCCAAGAGCAGAAACGUCAGCAGUGGCCCAUCAUCAUACAUGUAGAUUUGGAGUAUACACACCAUGCGCCAAUGGGCCUUGGCACAACAGCGGCGGCUCUACGGAGUGUUCAAGUGAGAAACAUUUGUUUCGACUUGUUGGACGAACAAAUCGUGGGUGCCGAAAAACGUGGCCUGCGCCGAUGGUGCUUGAAACAUCAAGCAUGGUAUGUGGUGACUGUCAGUGUUCAUCGAGGAAGGAGAACACUCAGGCCGUCGACCAUUCAUCCAUAUCGUUAGCUGCACUAAGUCUGUUGUGUCCUUGUAUUCCAUGGGCACACACUCAUGAAGCAUGGCGUCUGAGCUGUGUUCACAGAGCGGGGAGAUGCUCUUGCUGCUAUCUUAUCUGUCCUGUGUAUUCCCAAGUGCCGAAGGCUCACAACGAUGGUGUUGGACAAGUCAGAUAAAAUGGAGUCAACAUCGUCACAUGGUGCUGUGACCAAGAUACGGAUCAUGACGAACGCUGAUUCAACUGGACGAAUCGAAACCUGACGACGAAGAAUCGCGAGGCUUUUCAGAUGCAGGGACACAAUGGAAACUGAACGACUUCAGAACAGCACUGAAGCGUUAUGUUAUCAUGCAAGACGCCUUUCUGCGCCGCACAAACACAGGCGGUACUACAGCAGAAGAUGCCACUCACUAUUCUGCAGGUGAACUGGUGACAGGCGCAUGCAAGUUCACGUGAAGGAAGCGGUCUGAUGGUAACUGGAAUGCCAGCAGUAUGAGAGGGUGUGCAUUCUGCGGCGGAUCUCACCUGGACAAGAGCUGCACGAAAUACACAACAGUAGCACAGUGGAAAGAAUAACUGAUUGAACAGAAGCGUUGCUUUGUGUGUUUGCGCACAGGGCACCGGUGAACUCAGUGCAAGGCCACCCGCAAGUGUAAUGUGUGUUCUCGCAUGGGUCACCAAUCAGAGUCACCAUCAUGUCACGAUCUGCCCUGAAUCUCAACAGAAAUCUGACAGCAGGACCAACAUAGUAGCUGAUCAGCCUGUGGCUGACGAGGUACCAGCAUCUGGCGCAACAGGAGCUAGUGCAGCAUCAACCAGUAUCGCCAUUGACUGUAAGAUAGUCAGUCAUCUUGAUCGGUGCAGAUUUCCUCUGGGAGUUUAUGACGGGGAGCACCAGAGGACUUCCGCCAGUACUACAGUUUCUGCCUACCACAGUCGGUUUUGUGGUGACUGGCCGAACACGUCACUCCAAGCACUCAGCUAUGCCGAUGAGCACUACGAGCAGCCAUGCCAGCUAUCGUUUCUCUAACUGAUGCAACUUCCGACUCCUGCACCAUCCCAGAUCUGUGGGACCUAGACUGAGUUGACAUCCAGGAUUCAGGCAAUCUUACUAACAACGACCAAGCCAUUAGGCAAUUCAUCAUUGUUCAUAUGUAUUGUGUUGUCCGCUGCUAUUCGAAGCUCUCGGAGUCGGAAGCGUUACCUCUGUUUCCCCUGUUCCUCCCUGCGCGGAGUCUGUAGUUCUGGCUUGCAGUCGCUGUUACAUGCAUGUUGGCAGUUGCAUGUGUUUUGGUUUUCAGUUGUCUUUAUUUGUUUUGUGUGGACGACAGUUCAAUAUUCUA